This 533-nucleotide ribosomal RNA is filed under the name uncultured Glomus. Its description in RNAcentral is "eukaryotic LSU rRNA". The stretch from base 136 to 289 matches the Rfam family "5.8S ribosomal RNA". Lineage: Eukaryota; Fungi; Glomeromycota; Glomeromycetes; Glomerales; Glomeraceae. The record is from RNAcentral.
UUUCCGUAGGUGAACCUGCGGAAGGAUCAUUAAUAAAUGGGCGCAAGCCUUUAUUCAAUCUUCUACACCUGUGAACCAUUGCCUUCGGGCGAAUUCAAACAUAAUGUAACGAAUGUAAAUUAUUAUAACAAAUAUAACUUUCAACAACGGAUCUCUUGGCUCUCACAUCGAUGAAGAACGCAGCGAAAUGCGAUAAGUAAUGUGAAUUGCAGAAUUCCGUGAAUCAUCGAAUUUUUGAACGCAAAUUGCACUUCCUGGCAACCCGGGGAGUAUGCCUGUUUGAGGGUCAGUAUUAAUAAAAAUCGGCGUGUUGCUCUUUUGUGACGUUCCGGAGUUUGGGUCAUCUUAUAACAGGUGUUUUAAGAGGCUUAAAAUUGAUACCUUUUUUGUGCAUUUUUAGACGUACAAUAAAUUCUUUUUAUCCGUUUAUAUUAAUGCCAAAAUAUAUUAGAUGCGAUCAUAUCGUGUGGUACCGUGUCUAUAAAUUUUCAUGAUUUGACCUCAAAUCAGGUAAGAAUACCCGCUGAACUUAA